AUUGGUUGAAAAUCACCCCCGGCUUUGGCCAUGGCCGCGGGUAAGAUUUGGCACCCAGAGCCUCCAGGGGCCUCAGUUCACCACACGCUGCCACAUGUGCGGCGGUGAAACCCAGGCCCCGCGGCCU
Small nucleolar RNA from Symphalangus syndactylus (siamang), 127 nucleotides. RefSeq annotates it as small nucleolar RNA ACA64. The record is from RefSeq and is a predicted model, not a curated record. Lineage: Eukaryota; Metazoa; Chordata; Mammalia; Primates; Hylobatidae.